Molecule: ribosomal RNA, 468 nt
Filed under: uncultured bacterium
Lineage: Bacteria
Description: partial 16S ribosomal RNA
Rfam family: Bacterial small subunit ribosomal RNA
Source: RNAcentral
GACGAACGCUGGCGGCGUGCUUAACACAUGCAAGUCGAACGGAAAGGCCCUGCUUUUGUGGGGUGCUCGAGUGGCGAACGGGUGAGUAACACGUGAGUAACCUGCCCUUGACUUUGGGAUAACUUCAGGAAACUGGGGCUAAUACCGGAUAGGAGCUCCUGCUGCAUGGUGGGGGUUGGAAAGUUUCGGCGGUUGGGGAUGGACUCGCGGCUUAUCAGCUUGUUGGUGGGGUAGUGGCUUACCAAGGCUUUGACGGGUAUCCGGCCUGAGAGGGUGACCGGCCACAUUGGGACUGAGAUACGGCCCAGACUCCUACGGGAGGCAGCAGUGGGGAAUAUUGCACAAUGGGCGGAAGCCUGAUGCAGCAACGCCGCGUGCGGGAUGACGGCCUUCGGGUUGUAAACCGCUUUCGCCUGUGACGAAGCGUGAGUGACGGUAAUGGGUAAAGAAGCACCGGCUAACUACGUG